GACGAACGCUGGCGGCGUGCUUAACACAUGCAAGUCGAACGGAAAGGCCCUGCUUUUGUGGGGUGCUCGAGUGGCGAACGGGUGAGUAACACGUGAGUAACCUGCCCUUGACUUUGGGAUAACUUCAGGAAACUGGGGCUAAUACCGGAUAGGAGCUCCUGCUGCAUGGUGGGGGUUGGAAAGUUUCGGCGGUUGGGGAUGGACUCGCGGCUUAUCAGCUUGUUGGUGGGGUAGUGGCUUACCAAGGCUUUGACGGGUAGCCGGCCUGAGAGGGUGACUGGCCACAUUGGGACUGAGAUACGGCCCAGACUCCUACGGGAGGCAGCAGUGGGGAAUAUUGCACAAUGGGCGGAAGCCUGAUGCAGCAACGCCGCGUGCGGGAUGACGGCCUUCGGGUUGUAAACCGCUUUCGCCUGUGACGAAGCGUGAGUGACGGUAAUGGGUAAAGAAGCACCGGCUAACUACGUG
Molecule: ribosomal RNA, 468 nt
Filed under: uncultured bacterium
Lineage: Bacteria
Description: partial 16S ribosomal RNA
Rfam family: Bacterial small subunit ribosomal RNA
Source: RNAcentral